Molecule: non-coding RNA, 245 nt
Organism: Plasmodium berghei
Lineage: Eukaryota; Apicomplexa; Aconoidasida; Haemosporida; Plasmodiidae
Source: Rfam
UCGACGAAUACUUAGUCAAGAUCAUUGCUAUAGUAUUUGUGAUGUUUUAUUGUUAUAAAAUAACGGAUAUUACAAAAGUGAUGAUGAAAUGACGCUACUCACAAAUGAAUUUUAAUUUCGAUAUUUUUUCAUUAUCUUUUGAUAUUGUUAAAGUAUCCGAAAAAAAGAUGAUAACUUUAUAACAAUUUUAAGAUCUUCUUAUUUUUGUUAUUAAAUUUUUAGAGUAUGUCGUCCGCUGAACUUCC